CCGUUGCCGAGAUGCUUGUCUGCGACGGAUGCCCGAAAGAGACAAACUUUGCUGCCUGGCUCAAGGCAGUUUAAAUGUGAAGAACGUGAGUCUUCUAUGUUGCACACUCCUCCAGCGCUCUCUGCUGCUGAAGUGCAGAGCCUCGUUCCCAUAGACAGCAAAGCCCAACACUCCAAGGAAGAACAUCCGCACUGAGCCGAAGAAGAGAGUGUGGAACUGGCCGAUCACGGAUUCCACGAGCGGGUGAAGGGAUUGCGCUGUAUAUGCAUCACUUGGGGUGCUAGACGGCAUAUAGAUUUGGAGCUCAUCAGCAGCCAUCUUAUCAGACUUAAGGCCCACUCGACAAGAGAGAGCUGGAGUGAAGCUGAGCAAAGCCCCAGGAUUUAUGGACUGCUACACCCAGGGUAUAACUUCCGAUUGCUGGUGGCAGAUCGUGGAGUAAGAUUGCUCUGGACUUCUCAGCUGCUCCUGGAUGAACUAGAUAGAGCUCAGGUGUGUUGGUACUGGUAACCAGUGGUCCUCUGAUUGUCCUGGGAGGAAACUGUAGCAUUGCUGGGAGCAGGGAAAGAUGGAGUCCCUGUUUGUGGCUGCUUAGACAUAGGAAAAGGAUACCACACUAAUUGGGACUUAUGAGGACUAGAAAUGACGGGUUGAUUCUCAAAUGCCUCAUGUUUAUUAUGAUUUUACUUACAUUUUUCAGGUAUUUUGGACAGUCUAUUUUUUUGUACUAUUGACGUCUGCAUGUGAUCCCCAUGGGUCUGCUGGCUUCAGUUACCUCCACAUUGUUUUUUAAAAGGGAAAAUACUUUGCACUAUUGUCUGAAUGUUCGUAUCCCUCCAAUAUUCAUAUGUGGACACUUAAUCAGUAUCAGGUAGUAUAGAUAGGACCUUGAAAUGAUGAGUAGGUCACAAGAGACAAGGCAAUAAUACUCUUAUUAAAGAAGAGUAUCAGUCUCUAAUACCGUAUGAGAAUACAGAGGGAUAAUCUAGUGCAUGAUAUUUUGUUAUCAUAGCAAAGUUGACUAAUAUAUUCAGAGAGGAUUGACAAGGCACAAUUUAAAAGAUGCCCUGAUUCCACAGAGAUAUACCCCCCAAUAUAUUAAUAGAAUAUAACUUAUCAGUGUAUUAAACAAGAGUGCUUUUAUGUAACAAUUAAUGAACCUAGGUUGUAAUAGUACAGACCACACAGAGACCAUACAUUAGGACUCAUUCUUAGUGGCUUGUGUUAUAUACAUUGGGCAUGGUUAUUGUUAUGGUAUUAUUGUACAGAUUAUUUUUUAACUAACCUAAAAUCCUCUGUACUUUGAAUAUUCAGAUUUCACCUCACCCCAAAACUGGCAGCCACUGGCAUCUGCAUCUUUAUUGCCUCUGGUUUUGCCCUUUGAAGAAUGUGCUAUGCUUAGAAUAAUAUGGCUGCAUCCUUCUCAGGUUACCUAUGUUCACCUAGCUAUAUGUAUCUGGAUCUUUUCACAGGUUAGAGCUUAAUUUUUGCAUUGAAUACCAUCCAUAGUUCGGUCUAUCAUAGUUUACUUUUGUCCCAUUGACUUGUAGAAAGACAUCUUGACUGUUUCCAAAAUUUGACAAUAGUAAGUCCUAUGUAUGCAUCCAUGGGCAGGUGUGUGUGUGUGUGUGUGUGUGUGUGUGUGUGUGUGUGUGUGUGUGUGUGAAUAUUGUUGUAGUUUGAAUAUGCUUGUCCCAUGGGAAGUUGUUUUAUUAAAAAGUGUUGUUAGAGGAAGUGAGUCAUUGUGAGGGUGGACUUUGAGGUCUCUAUGCCACCCAGGAUGGAAAGAGAGCCUCCUCCUGGCUUCCUACAGAAGAGAAUCUCUCCUUGUGGCUGCCUUCAGAUCAAGACGUAGAACUCUCGACUUUUCCAGCACCAUGUCUGUCUGCACACAGCCAUGCUUCCUGCCAUUAUGAUAACGGACUGAGUCCCUGACAUUGUAAACCAGCCUCGAUUGAGUGCUUUCCUUUAGAAGGGUUGCCUUGGUCUUGGUGACACUUCACAGCAAUGGGAAUCCUCACUAAGACAGACAUAUUUUCUUGAUAUGCUCAUUGUAGUUUAAAAUGUGGUAAACCCAAAGAAAGAAAGCCACGUUGAACUUAGAUUGCACAGAAAAUAAUUUAUUAGAGAUACUACUUGGUGGAAGUGUAGUCUUACGUAUUAAUAAGACCGGUUGAGUUCCCACAUUUCAGACUAGAAGGCACGUAUAUUCGGAUUAGAGCAAAAGUGAUAUUUUAGUUUGAGUGUAGGUACAUAGUGUGUUGUAAGCUAAUAAUAAUGAAAGAGUCACCCCUCCGUACCAGCAGUCUUGGUUAUAAUGCUCAAUAUCCUGCUCUAAAAGUUUGUAUGGUUUGUUGGAAAACUAAUCAGGAAUAACUAGGGACAGUCAUGGCAGCUAGAAGUCAAAAUGACAGCAGUCAGUCAAGCCGAAUCUACAGAGCACAUAUUCAGGUUUGCAAGAAACUGCCAGGCUAUGUUCUGUAUUUUUGUUUUAUAUAUUUCGUAACCUUGAAUGAGGAAUCAUGUUACUAAUUCUCAUUAGUAUUUAGUGCUA
Rattus norvegicus (Norway rat) is the source of this 2554-nucleotide long non-coding RNA. RefSeq lists it as uncharacterized. Lineage: Eukaryota; Metazoa; Chordata; Mammalia; Rodentia; Muridae. The record is from RefSeq and is a predicted model, not a curated record.